GUCGUGCGCGAACUGUAGCAAUACAGGGAGAGCGGCGAAAGGGAGAGUAAUACGUAGGUACCUACCCCCGGGUCUGGGAUAGCGGCGGGAAACUGCCGGUAAUACCAGAUAAUGUCUCCGGACCAAAGGUGUGAUUCCACCUGGGGAGGGGCCUGCGGGCUAUUAGCUAGUUGGCAGGGUAACGGCCUACCAAGGCAAAGAUGGCUAUGGGGCGUGAGAGCGUGCCCCCACUCACUGGGACUGAGACACUGCCCAGACACCUACGGGUGGCUGCAGUCGAGAAUCUUCGGCAAUGGGCGCAAGCCUGACCGAGCGAUGCCGCGUGCGGGAUGAAGGCCUUCGGGUUGUAAACCGCUGUCGUAGGGGAGGAAGGCUCCGUGCAGAACGGAGUUUGACCGAUCCUAGGAGGAAGGGCCGGCUAAUCUCGUGCCAGCAGCCGCGGUAAUACGAGAGGCCCGAACGUUAUUCGGAUUUACUGGGCUUAAAGAGUUCGUAGGCGGCUUGGAAAGUGGGGUGUGAAAGCCCUCGGCUCAACCGAGGAAUUGCGCUCCAAACUUCCGAGCUUGAGUAGGCUAGAGGUGAGCAGAACAGAUGGUGGAGCGGUGAAAUGCGUUGAUAUCAUCUGGAAUACCGGAGGCGAAGGCGGCUCACUGGGACCUAACUGACGCUGAGGAACGAAAGCUAGGGGAGCAAACGGGAUUAGAUACCCCGGUAGUCCUAGCCGUAAACGGUGA
Molecule: ribosomal RNA, 734 nt
Filed under: uncultured Planctomycetota bacterium
Lineage: Bacteria; Pseudomonadati; Planctomycetota
Description: bacterial SSU rRNA
Rfam family: Bacterial small subunit ribosomal RNA
Source: RNAcentral